CCUACGGGAGGCAGCAGUGAGGAAUAUUGGUCAAUGGCCGGAAGGCUGAACCAGCCAAGCCGCGUGAAGGACGAAGGUGCCAAGCAUUGUAAACUUCUUUUGUCAAGGGACAAAAUCAGGCUCGAGAGCCUGACCGAGGGUACUUGAAGAAAAAGCAUCGGCUAACUCCGUGCCAGCAGCCGCGGUAAUACGGAGGAUGCGAGCGUUAUCCGGAUUUAUUGGGUUUAAAGGGUGCGUAGGCGGAUUGUUAAGUCAGCGGUAAAAGUCCGGGGCUCAACCCCGGCGAGCCGUUGAGACUGGCUGUCUAGAGAGGUGGAGAGGUAUGCGGAAUGCGCAGUGUAGCGGUGAAAUGCUUAGAUAUGGCGCAGAACUCCGAUUGCGAAGGCAGCAUACCGGCGGCGAUCUGACGCUGAGGCACGAAAGCGUGGGUAUCGAACAGGAUUAGAUACCCCGGUAGUC
RNAcentral lists this ribosomal RNA (459 nucleotides) under uncultured bacterium. Its description in RNAcentral is "partial 16S ribosomal RNA". It matches the Rfam family "Bacterial small subunit ribosomal RNA", at positions 338 to 795 of the family's 1533-position model. The record is from RNAcentral.